Molecule: ribosomal RNA, 934 nt
Filed under: uncultured bacterium
Lineage: Bacteria
Description: bacterial SSU rRNA
Rfam family: Bacterial small subunit ribosomal RNA
Source: RNAcentral
AUGCAGUCGAGGGGUAUGGUUCUUCGGAACCGAGACCGGCGCACGGGUGCGUAACGCGUAUGCAAUCUACCUUUUACAGAGGGAUAGCCCAGAGAAAUUUGGAUUAAUACCUCAUAGCAUAGCAGCUUCGCAUGAAGCCACUAUUAAAGUCACAACGGUAAAAGAUGAGCAUGCGUCCCAUUAGCUAGUUGGUAAGGUAACGGCUUACCAAGGCUACGAUGGGUAGGGGUCCUGAGAGGGAGAUCCCCCACACUGGUACUGAGACACGGACCAGACUCCUACGGGAGGCAGCAGUGAGGAAUAUUGGACAAUGGGCGCAAGCCUGAUCCAGCCAUGCCGCGUGCAGGAUGACGGUCCUAUGGAUUGUAAACUGCUUUUGUACAGGAAGAAACAGUUCUACGUGUAGAACCUUGACGGUACUGUAAGAAUAAGGAUCGGCUAACUCCGUGCCAGCAGCCGCGGUAAUACGGAGGAUCCAAGCGUUAUCCGGAAUCAUUGGGUUUAAAGGGUCCGUAGGCGGUUUAGUAAGUCAGUGGUGAAAGCCCAUCGCUCAACGGUGGAACGGCCAUUGAUACUGCUAGACUUGAAUUAUUAGGAAGUAACUAGAAUAUGUAGUGUAGCGGUGAAAUGCUUAGAGAUUACAUGGAAUACCAAUUGCGAGGGCAGGUUACUACUAAUGGAUUGACGCUGAUGGACGAAAGCGUGGGUAGCGAACAGGAUUAGAUACCCUGGUAGUCCACGCCGUANACGAUGGAUACUAGCUGUUGGGCGCAAGCUCAGUGGCUAAGCGAAAGUGAUAAGUAUCCCACCUGGGGAGUACGUUCGCAAGAAUGAAACUCAAAGGAAUUUGACGGGGCCCGCACAAGCGGUGGAGCAUGUGGUUUAAUUCGAUGAUACGCGAGGAACCUUACCAAGGCUAAAUGUAGAUUGACCG